Oreochromis aureus is the source of this 1684-nucleotide long non-coding RNA. RefSeq lists it as uncharacterized. Lineage: Eukaryota; Metazoa; Chordata; Actinopteri; Cichliformes; Cichlidae. The transcript has 5 exons. The record is from RefSeq and is a predicted model, not a curated record.
UCUCUCCAGCGUGUCCUGGGUCUGCCCGGGGCCUUAUUUUCUGGUCAGUGAGUGUAAUGCACCCGGUAAAGUCAACAGAAAAAACUUCACAUGUUCUUCCACGUUCGUAGAGAGGAGCUCAUGGUUCGUAGAGACAGCUGCCAGAGACGGAGAAACGCAAGAACAGGGAGAAAAUGAUCUGCAGGAUCCUGCUGCUCAUCAUCCUCACCUCAUGUGUCUCUGGAUCAUUUGUAGUCAAUGUGACACAGACCUGCUAUCAGGCAGAGGAGAACCACAACAUCACACUGGAGUGGACGUUCACCACCAAACCUGACAGAUCCUCCAAAACUCUCAACAUCCUCUGUUAACUGAUAACUGAGCAUACAGAUUCAGUCCUGUAUCAGGAUCAUGAAGGUGUUGAGGUGUCAGAGUCUCAGGAUGAAAAGUUUUCAGGACGAGUCCAGAGUGACAAAGACGCCCUCAGAGAAGGACGAAUCAGACUUCAGCUGUCCAGACUCAGGACUGAUGACUCGGGUCUGCACCUGUGUGAGGUGAACACUGAUUAUGGUUACAGCUCUGACGACUGUCAACUCAAUGUCACUGCAGCUGCAGAUGAACUCAAAUCUAAGAGACCAACUUUAAAAUCACAAAAAAACAAUAUCUUAAUUGGAGUGACAGCAGUUGGAGUGGCAGUAGUUUUAAUCAUUGUGUGUACAUCUCUGUAUGUCAUGUUGAAAAAAAAAAGAAUUCACCGUAACCUCUAUGCUGAUGUAGAGAUGUUGAGUGUCUCAGAAAAACAAACUGGGACUGACAGGAUUCUCUGUGCAGGACCAACUUUGGAUCAGAGCGAAUCAUCAGUCACACAAAGAAAAGACUCUGAGCUGCUUUAGGUACAGGAAGUGAUGUGUGCUGUGUAACAUGACUUAUGUUAAAUCGGGCUCGUAUUAUCCUGGGAUUGAAUUCACAGCUGUAAUGAGUAAAGGGGGGACAGUUUUUGCCACCAAAAUCCACCUGUGCUGCACACUGGUAUUACUGGUGUGUGCCCGUGUCUGCGUGUGUGUCCACAUAUGCCUGUGCAGAUGGAGGCGAUACAGUUAAGCUGAAAAAGUAUUCGAUCAACAAAUGACUUAAACAAUGAUGUCUAACCCAAGAGCAAGCAAAAGUCACGGCAAGAAAUCACAAGGCCUGGAAGUGCAUCGUUGACCAAGAUGGAAACCCUGUGGUACCCACGGCGACGUCUUGGCCUCGUGGACGACCUCCGUCUGCCAGCUAAGGACAAAAGAAGACGAAAGAAAGAAUCAUUAAUGUGUCUGAAGGGAGAGUUUAUUUCUUACCCUUCUGAUUACUGAUGGAUGUUGUAGCACAGAGCGCUGCCUUUUCUAAUCUUUCUGUUAAAAAAGUUUACAUAUUGUAAAUACAUAUUAAUUUUUAUGGGUUUGAAUUUUUCUGAAUUUUCUGUUUAUAAGUCUAUUUUUAAACUGUGUAUGUUCCCAGGUUCCAAAUACUGUGUCACAAAUAACUAUAAUGACAGGUACAGACUGAGAAACCAUCAUAAAGUUUUCUUUGAGACUGUAUGAAUAAAAGACACUAACACUAAAACACAGAUUUCAGAAAGUAUUAAAACAGAGAAAUGUAAUGUGUGGUGUUGAGUGUCAUACUUUUCCAUGUUGGCCAAAUGGAAAAGUUUUAAAAUACAUGGAAAUGU